Molecule: ribosomal RNA, 492 nt
Filed under: uncultured bacterium
Lineage: Bacteria
Description: partial 16S ribosomal RNA
Rfam family: Bacterial small subunit ribosomal RNA
Source: RNAcentral
AGUGAACGCUGGCGGUAGGCCUAACACAUGCAAGUCGAACGGCAGCACAGUAAGAGCUUGCUCUUACGGGUGGCGAGUGGCGGACGGGUGAGGAAUACAUCGGAAUCUACUUUUUCGUGGGGGAUAACGUAGGGAAACUUACGCUCAUACCGCAUACGACCUACGGGUGAAAGCAGGGGAUCUUCGGACCUUGCGCGAUUGAAUGAGCCGAUGUCGGAUUAGCUAGUUGGCGGGGUAAAGGCCCACCAAGGCGACGAUCCGUAGCUGGUCUGAGAGGAUGAUCGGCCACACUGGAACUGAGACACGGUCCAGACUCCUACGGGAGGCAGCAGUGGGGAAUAUUGGACAAUGGGCGCAAGCCUGAUCCAGCCAUACCGCGUGGGUGAAGAAGGCCUUCGGGUUGUAAAGCCCUUUUGUUGGGAAAGAAAAGCAGCAGGUUAAUACCCCGCUGUUCUGACGGUACCCAAAGAAUAAGCACCGGCUAACUUCGUG